This 460-nucleotide ribosomal RNA is filed under the name uncultured bacterium. RNAcentral describes it as "partial 16S ribosomal RNA". It matches the Rfam family "Bacterial small subunit ribosomal RNA", at positions 338 to 795 of the family's 1533-position model. The record is from RNAcentral.
GCUACGGGUGGCUGCAGUGAGGAAUAUUGGUCAAUGGGCGUAAGCCUGAACCAGCCAAGUCGCGUGAGGGAUGAAGGUUCUAUGGAUCGUAAACCUCUUUUAUAAGGGAAUAAAGUGUGGGACGUGUCCUAUUUUGUAUGUACCUUAUGAAUAAGGAUCGGCUAACUCCGUGCCAGCAGCCGCGGUAAUACGGAGGAUCCGAGCGUUAUCCGGUUUUAUUGGGUUUAAAGGGUGCGUAGGCGGCCUUUUAAGUCAGCGGUGAAAGUCUGUGGCUUAACCAUAGAAUUGCCGUUGAACCGGGGGGGCUUGAGUAUGUUUGAGGCAGGCGGAAUGCGUGGGGUAGCGGUGAAAUGCUUAGAUAGCACGCAGAACCCCGAUUGCGAAGGCAGCCUGCCAAGCCAUGACUGACGCUGAUGCACGAAAGCGUGGGGAUCAAACAGGAUUAGAUACCCUAGUAGUC